RNA transcript from Ananas comosus (pineapple), 1597 nucleotides. RefSeq lists it as uncharacterized. The record is from RefSeq and is a predicted model, not a curated record. Lineage: Eukaryota; Viridiplantae; Streptophyta; Magnoliopsida; Poales; Bromeliaceae. The transcript is spliced from 9 exons.
UGAGAAUGAUCUGCCGGCAACGGUUUGAUUUAUUGAUUUUCGGUUUUCAUAUGUGAUAUGUAUUUGGCUUCCGAAAAAUUUUAAAAGUGCAAAACUAUUUUCCGCUGCGUUUUUCUGAUGUGUCGGUUAUUUUCUAACAUCGACAACCUCCGAGCCUACCUGCAAAUCAUCAACGACGCCUCCAUUCUAGGGCUCAAUCAUGACAUCGCGGAUCACCCCUUUGAGCUCUUCAGGGACUGCUCCUCCGCCAUUUGCCUGAGGAAUCACAGUGUCGAGGCCCUCGCUACCGCUGCGCUCGUGCAGGCGAUCUGGGAGGCGCAGGAGCCGAGGACUCUGGGGAAACUUCUUGAUAUAUACCGGAAGCAGAAGACACUUUCAUCCUUUGACACAAAACCUGAGGGCCUUGAGGAAGUUCCUUCUAUUACAUUUUCUAGCACGGUGACACCACUGGCCUUUCUUGCACCUGAGGCAGAUGAAGAGGCUCUUUUAGAGGACAUCUGGAAAGGAAAGGUCACAAGCAGUGAAGAAAACUAUUCAAGCAAUGACCAGAUGAAGGGAGUUGAUGACUUGGGGGACAAACAUAUGGUGAAAUAUCUUCCAGCUUCAUCGAAGGAUCCUCUGCAGAUUCUGGAGUAGGGGAAAGCAAGGAUAAACUGAACUCUUUGACUUCUGGCUUGGAUAAAGAUGAUAUAGCUCCAGCAGUUUCAGAAAGUGAUGUUUGUAUGGAUUCCGAGGAGAAAGUCAUUGAGGAUGUAAAUUCUGAUUUUGUAUAGAACAUGAAGUUAGAUUGCUUGGAGUCAAGUUCUUCUUUUGAUGUUAGUGCUAAGCUACCUGAUGAUUCCAAUUUACUGUUCGAUACUCCAUUCAUCGACAGCACUCCAAAACCCACCAAAUUCUAUCAAAAUUCUGUUUCUGAAGUAAAGUCCUUAGAGGAUGAUAAUUUUUAUCAAAAUUCUGUUUCAAACGAUUCUAAUGUGCGGUACAAGAAAGAUGUUAGAAUGGUACCAACUGAUAGUUUCACAGAUACUUUAUGCACAAGCAAGACAUUAGAACGAUAUCAACGUUGCUGUUACAAUUCUCAGGAUUCAAGUGCUAGUGAUCGUGAGACUCAGGUCUUCCACAUGGAUAGAAAUGACUAUUAUGGUGGAGAGUCUUGCUCACUCAAUCUCUUCCAGCUUUGGAAAAGAUUUAGAGGUAAUGAUACCCCCCUGCACAUCUGGGACCGAGCAGAGAUUACAAUGUAGACAUGAUUCCAAAGUUCAACAUUAUACAUCAAGAUGCUGAUAUAACAUUAUACAUCAAGAUGCUGAUAUGAUGCCACUAAUCAUUUUAAGAUUAUUCUUCUUAAGCUCGGGGAUCUUUUCUAUUGGAAUCUUCACUCUUUAAGGAUGAGUCUUCGUGAACUGUAGUUUGAACUUCUCUAUUGUAGCGCAUAGAACUUUCGCCUAUAAAACUUUUUAAUUACAUAUUAGUCUUCUUGUAAUUCGAAUUUUUUUUAGCUAUCUAAUGUUUGAUUGAUAUUUAUUUGUACUCGCAACACUUUUGAGAAUGUAAUAAACUUUUGAGCUGUGAAAUUGAAGAAAUCGAGUUCUUCAAA